RNAcentral lists this ribosomal RNA (64 nucleotides) under Fusarium oxysporum. RNAcentral's name for it is "partial 18S ribosomal RNA". The stretch from base 1 to 55 matches the Rfam family "Eukaryotic small subunit ribosomal RNA", at positions 1777 to 1831 of the family's 1831-position model. The record is from RNAcentral. Lineage: Eukaryota; Fungi; Ascomycota; Sordariomycetes; Hypocreales; Nectriaceae.
AGGAAGUAAAAGUCGUAACAAGGUCUCCGUUGGUGAACCAGCGGAGGGAUCAUUACCGAGUUUA